This 472-nucleotide ribosomal RNA is filed under the name uncultured bacterium. RNAcentral describes it as "bacterial SSU rRNA". It matches the Rfam family "Bacterial small subunit ribosomal RNA", at positions 355 to 825 of the family's 1533-position model. The record is from RNAcentral.
UGGGGAAUAUUGGACAAUGGGCGAAAGCCUGAUCCAGCCAUGCCGCGUGUGUGAAGAAGGUCUUCGGAUUGUAAAGCACUUUAAGUUGGGAGGAAGGGCCAUUACCUAAUACGUGAUGGUUUUGACGUUACCGACAGAAUAAGCACCGGCUAACUCUGUGCCAGCAGCCGCGGUAAUACAGAGGGUGCAAGCGUUAAUCGGAAUUACUGGGCGUAAAGCGCGCGUAGGUGGUUUGUUAAGUUGGAUGUGAAAUCCCCGGGCUCAACCUGGGAACUGCAUUCAAAACUGACUGACUAGAGUAUGGUAGAGGGUGGUGGAAUUUCCUGUGUAGCGGUGAAAUGCGUAGAUAUAGGAAGGAACACCAGUGGCGAAGGCGACCACCUGGACUAAUACUGACACUGAGGUGCGAAAGCGUGGGGAGCAAACAGGAUUAGAUACCCAUGUAGUCCCUGAGCGGGCUGGCAAGGCGCAU